This 497-nucleotide ribosomal RNA is filed under the name uncultured bacterium. RNAcentral's name for it is "partial 16S ribosomal RNA". It matches the Rfam family "Bacterial small subunit ribosomal RNA", at positions 28 to 507 of the family's 1533-position model. The record is from RNAcentral.
GAUGAACGCUGGCGGCGUGCCUAAUACAUGCAAGUCGAGCGAACAGACGAGGAGCUUGCUCCUCUGACGUUAGCGGCGGACGGGUGAGUAACACGUGGAUAACCUACCUAUAAGACUGGGAUAACUUCGGGAAACCGGAGCUAAUACCGGAUAAUAUAUUGAACCGCAUGGUUCAAUAGUGAAAGACGGGUUUGCUGUCACUUAUAGAUGGAUCCGCGCCGCAUUAGCUAGUUGGUAAGGUAACGGCUUACCAAGGCAACGAUGCGUAGCCGACCUGAGAGGGUGAUCGGCCACACUGGAACUGAGACACGGUCCAGACUCCUACGGGAGGCAGCAGUAGGGAAUCUUCCGCAAUGGGCGAAAGCUUGACGGAGCAACGCCGCGUGAGUGAUGAAGGUCCUCGGAUCGUAAAACUCUGUUAUUAGGGAAGAACAAAUGUGUAAGUAACUAUGCACGUCUUGACGGUACCUAAUCAGAAAGCCACGGCUAACUACGUG